GGAGCCCAAAUCUUUAGUGAAGGUGGGCUUGACUACUUGGGAAACCCAAGCUUGGUUCAUGCCCAGAGCAUCUUGGCUAUUUGGGCUACCCAAGUUGUCUUGAUGGGGGCAGUUGAGGGCUACCGUAUUGCUGGUGGACCACUCGGUGAGGUUGAAGAUCCACUUUACCCCGGUGGAAGUUUCGACCCAUUGGGCCUUGCUGAUGAUCCGGAGGCUUUUGCUGAGCUUAAGGUUAAGGAACUCAAGAAUGGAAGACUUGCUAUGUUCUCCAUGUUUGGUUUCUUCGUUCAGGCCAUUGUUACAGGAAAGGGCCCAUUGGAGAACCUAGCUGAUCAUCUUGCUGAUCCAGUGAACAACAAUGCAUGGGCCUAUGCCACCAACUUUGUCCCCGGAAAGUGAGAGAGGAGGAGAGCUUUGAACUUCUUACUUUCGGUUUGAGCAGUUUGUGUGUUUGUUAUGUAUAUUGGUCCGAUCUAAUGAAAAAAAGUGUGAAUUUAUAUGUCUUUGUUAUGUAUAAGUUGAUACCCUAUGUUGUUUGUUUGUUCUAAAAAUGCAGUAGUACCUAAAAUGUAUCUAUCUCAUCUUACAUAAUCACUUGGUUAGGGCCAUGGAAUGGUGGCCUUAACCAAUUUCUUUUGGGACGUUUCAAAUUAGCUCAAUAUAAAUGCUGCUAAAAAUCUUCAAUAUUGUUGGACACAAUUGGCUAUCAUGUAAAAUUUGCUCAUAAUUCUCGUAGCUUAAGAAGAUUAAUUUGAUAUAUAGUUGCCUAUCAAGUUAUAAAGAAUCAAAAAUGGAUAAUAGAAAAAGAAAAGAAAAGAAAAGGUGAGAAUACAUGAAUUAAUAGUAGUAAUGUAGUAGUAAAACUAGACUUGUAGGUAAGUAGUUUCGUUUUUGCUCAGAAAGGGUACAAAGACAACU
RNAcentral lists this long non-coding RNA (918 nucleotides) under Panax ginseng (ginseng). Its description in RNAcentral is "long non-coding RNA (PGIN_LNC015622)". Lineage: Eukaryota; Viridiplantae; Streptophyta; Magnoliopsida; Apiales; Araliaceae. The record is from RNAcentral.